RNAcentral lists this ribosomal RNA (274 nucleotides) under uncultured bacterium. RNAcentral describes it as "partial 16S ribosomal RNA". It matches the Rfam family "Bacterial small subunit ribosomal RNA", at positions 523 to 796 of the family's 1533-position model. The record is from RNAcentral.
AUACGGAGGGGGCUAGCGUUGUUCGGAAUUACUGGGCGUAAAGCGCGCGUAGGCGGGCUGGUAAGUUGGGGGUGAAAUCCCAGGGCUCAACCCUGGAACUGCCCUCAAUACUGCCAGUCUUGAGUUCGAGAGAGGUAAGUGGAAUUCCUAGUGUAGAGGUGAAAUUCGUAGAUAUUAGGAAGAACACCAGUGGCGAAGGCGGCUUACUGGCUCGAUACUGACGCUGAGGCGCGAAAGCGUGGGGAGCAAACAGGAUUAGAUACCCCGGUAGUCC